This 482-nucleotide ribosomal RNA is filed under the name uncultured bacterium. RNAcentral describes it as "partial 16S ribosomal RNA". It matches the Rfam family "Bacterial small subunit ribosomal RNA", at positions 28 to 507 of the family's 1533-position model. The record is from RNAcentral.
GAUGAACGCUAGCGGCAGGCCUAAUACAUGCAAGUCGGACGGGAUUCAGGAGCUUGCUUCUGAUGAGAGUGGCGCACGGGUGCGUAACACGUAUGUAACCUACCUUUAUCAGGGGGAUAGCCUCUCGAAAGAGAGAUUAAGCCCGCAUAAAAUCACAGCACAGCAUUGUGUAAUGAUCAAAUAUUUAUAGGAUAAAGAUGGGCAUGCGGAACAUUAGCUAGAUGGCGGGGUAACGGCCCACCAUGGCGACGAUGUUUAGGGGAUCUGAGAGGAUGGCCCCCCCCACUGGUACUGAGACACGGACCAGACUCCUACGGGAGGCAGCCGUAAGGAAUAUUGGUCAAUGGGCGGAAGCCUGAACCAGCCAUGCCGCGUGCAGGAAGACGGCCCUACGGGUUGUAAACUGCUUUUAUACGGGAAUAAACCCAGAUACGUGUAUCUGGCUGAAUGUACUGUAAGAAUAAGGAUCGGCUAACUCCGUG